GGGAAAUACUAACCUCCCUUUCUUGGUCUUUGGGCUCUCAAUGCUCUUGUUCUCCAAUUCAAAACGAUGGCAGAAUCUCAGAAAAUGGUGGCAUUGAAGAAGGCGUACGCGGAAAUAAUACUGAACACGGCGAAGGAGGCAGCGAGUCGAGUGAUGGCGUCGGAGAAGAAAGCGAUUCGCUAUCAGCAGGAUCUUUUUACUGCAAAAGACGAGGCGAUUCGUUUGCUUGUCCGCUUGAAGCAAAUGAUCGACGCUAAGAUAAUUGAAGCAGAGAUAGCAUCCUCAAGCCAGCAAACUAAAAUUGAUGAGCUUGAAGCUCAGCUCCAGGAAGCAGAGGGUGUCAUAGUAGAUCUAAGAGCAGAGUUGAAAUGGGCACGUGAUAAGUUGGAGAAGAUAACUAACAACCAAUUCCAGUCUUUGGAUGGAAAUAUCACAAGUGACAAUGAACCCUCUGACCAAAACACAACACCUGAGCCCAAUAUACUCUCUCCUAAUGUGGGACUCCAACCUGUGACAUCUUGUGACAUGAAGAACUCAUUAUUUGAUCAGAGAAUUUUGGAUAACACGGGCUGCAAUAUAGAACAGACUGAGCAAUCGAGUGUUUCUCAAUUUGGAAGCCAUUCUUCUCAUAACACUGAAUUAGCUUCAGUAAUUAUAAGAAAAGAGGAACCUGAGCUGUACAGAAAUGGAUGUGCUGAAAGAAUUUGUGCAUUGGAAGGGAACUUACUGGCUGGGAAUUUGCCACCUUCUGGAGAAGUUGAUGAACAUGCCCUUAGAAAGAGUGAAUUGAUCAGCAAAGCAACUAAUAAGGAUGAUAAAAAAUCUACUGUUUUUUUCUUUGAAGACCAAGAAUUUGGAAACAGCAAAGAACUUUUAUGGGAAAGAAGGAAAAAAACGUGUUAGGGUUCACACAAUAAGACGAAGAAGGACUCGGUUUGGGAAAACCAAAGCUAAGCUCAAGUCUUGUCCAAGUAAGCUUACGAAACCUUAUCAACCACCAUCCAUUCUGUCUCAUUGCAAAAGAUACUUGACAAAUGGGAAUGGUAAACCUGAUGAAGGUACGCGCCUUCCCUCUAUCAAGACUGACAACAUUGAAAUGAAGAAGCAUUCUAGUGAAUUGGAAAAAAAAUUGCAUUCUCAGAACAGCUGCAUUACAGUUGAGAAGAUGAUUGCUCCUGAAGGGAAAAGACAAAAGACUGUGCAAAGUGGGGAUGCCAUGUCUACCACAUGCACACACUAUCCUGAUCAGCAUGAAACUUGUCAACUCUCUUCUUUUCUAAACCAAUGCAAGUCUUGUUCACUUUCACUCUAUGGUAAGAUCAAAUUAGGUAAUGAUGGGUCAAGCAUGACAGAAAAUGAGGUUAAACUGAAUCCAUUGUCCAGCUUAGAUCCAGCGUUAACACUAGUUAAAGGUGGUGUGAAUCCUCCAUCUGGCUCUACAAAUGUCACAGUGAGUGUUAAGGCAUUAAAUAGAUCAGGUAUCAUCCAUAAUACCUCAAACAAGGAUGUGGAGUUAGCAUAUGAGUUUGUAAAACAGGAAUAUGAGGCUGCUGCCAAUUCAACUCUUCCAUGCUAUGAAUCAAAUCCUGAGAUGGUUAACGUACCACUGGUAUAUUCUGAUUUGGAACACAUCAAAUCAUCCAAAGAAGAUAUGGUUGAUGUACCAUUGCUGUAUUCUGAUUUAGAAGACGCCAAAGCACCCAAAGAAUCUAAGGUUUCUCCUAGGCAAGUAGACAACAAUAGGCUUCUUAAGUACACCUUCCAAAGGAAACGCAAGAAGGAGGCCCCAAGUAGUCCUGAUCAAAACACUUCUCUUGAAAAGAGCACUGUAACAAGGAGAGCUGGAGAGAAGCACAAUGGUUCACCAGACAAAGAGAAAUCUAGCAUAAUAAAUGAAUCAUCUAGGGACAGUAGGCGACUGGCUCAGGUUGCUCGCCAGCUUAUUUCUUUGUCUGGGAAAAGAUGGUGGUAAUUAGGCCAAUUGUUCCUCAAGUCCAACCAGAAAAUGGUUGGAUGUGAUGCUCAAGUUAAAAUUCACUCACCUUUUAUUCGGUGAUACCGGCAUAGUUUUUUUUUCCAAGAAAUCCGAUAAAUAUGCUGCUGUCUGCCAUGCCUGCCCUUCAAAGUAUGAGAGAUAUAGAGAUUACUCAUUAGUAUGAUUAUUACAUUUUAAAUUUCAACUUUCCCCUACAUAUCUUCUUGUGGAGAAUAACCCUUUUCUCAUCUCCAUCUUUUUCUUUUUCACUACAUAGAGAAGUUGUAAUAUCUUCAAUAGUUGCCGGAUUGGCCCGGCAAGCUCCUAGCUGUAUCUUCAGUAACCAAUCCUGCCAUGACAGGUCUUUUUACAGAUAACCUUAAAUUUAAUCUAAUGCUUUGGCAUUCAUUCUUC
RNAcentral lists this unclassified non-coding RNA (2389 nucleotides) under Hevea brasiliensis (rubber tree). Lineage: Eukaryota; Viridiplantae; Streptophyta; Magnoliopsida; Malpighiales; Euphorbiaceae. The record is from RNAcentral.